AACGAACGCUGGCGGCAUGCCUAACACAUGCAAGUCGAACGAUUGCCUUCGGGUGAUAGUGGCGCACGGGUGCGUAACGCGUGGGAAUCUGCCCUUAGGUUCGGAAUAACAGCUGGAAACGGCUGCUAAUACCGGACGAUAUCGCGAGAUCAAAGAUUUAUCGCCUGAGGAUGAGCCCGCGUUGGAUUAGGUAGUUGGUGGGGUAAAGGCCUACCAAGCCGACGAUCCAUAGCUGGUCUGAGAGGAUGAUCAGCCACACUGGGACUGAGACACGGCCCAGACUCCUACGGGAGGCAGCAGUGGGGAAUAUUGGACAAUGGGCGCAAGCCUGAUCCAGCAAUGCCGCGUGAGUGAUGAAGGCCCUAGGGUUGUAAAGCUCUUUUACCCGGGAAGAUAAUGACUGUACCGGGAGAAUAAGCCCCGGCUAACUCCGUG
Molecule: ribosomal RNA, 435 nt
Filed under: uncultured bacterium
Lineage: Bacteria
Description: partial 16S ribosomal RNA
Rfam family: Bacterial small subunit ribosomal RNA
Source: RNAcentral